GGAAGCAGUGGUUCGACUACACUCAGUAUCUGCGCCGAGAGGUUUCUGAUUUUUUUUCCCUUUCUUCUUUGAUUAAUCCCUACUGGGUUUUCUCUGCUGACCUCUGUUUGUUUCUAUGGAAAGUUUUCUGGGGUUUCUCUGCUGACAUCUGUUUGUUUCCGUGGAAAAUUUUCUGGGGUUUCUCUGCUGGUAUCUGUUUGUUUCCGUGGAAUGUUUUCUGGGUUCUCUGCUGGCAAACUGUUGGUUUUCAGUGGAAAUUUUUUAUGGGUUUUGUUAAUUUCAUCGAAAGAAGCUUAAUUUUUGGUGUAUAUGAUUAGUUCGCGUUUAAAGUUAGGAACUUUCAGAUUAUAAGGAUGAAAUGUCUAUAGAAAUUACUGGAUAGUCAGACGUAAUUUCCCUAAAAUAUUUCCAUUUGUGGUUCAAUACUGCGUUUCCCCCAUUGUUUUGAAUUUUGGGCCGUUGAAGUAAACUUUGAUUGUGGGGUUUCUGGUUGUGG
RNAcentral lists this long non-coding RNA (496 nucleotides) under Malus domestica (apple). RNAcentral describes it as "long non-coding RNA (MDOM_LNC003428)". The record is from RNAcentral. Lineage: Eukaryota; Viridiplantae; Streptophyta; Magnoliopsida; Rosales; Rosaceae.